CUACGGGCGGCAGCAGUGGGGGAUAUUGCACAAUGGAGGAAACUCUGAUGCAGCAACGCCGCGUGAAGGAAGACGGUUUUCGGAUUGUAAACUUCUAUCAGCUGGGAAGAAAAUGACUGUACCAGACUAAGAAGCCCCGGCUAACUACGUGCCAGCAGCCGCGGUAAUACGUAGGGGGCAAGCGUUAUCCGGAUUUACUGGGUGUAAAGGGUUCGUAGGCGGUUAUUUAAGUCAGAUGUGAAAGCCCGAGGCUCAACCCCGGGACUGCAUUUGAAACUGGAUAACUAGAGUACAGGAGAGGAAAGCGGAAUUCCUAGUGUAGCGGUGAAAUGCGUAGAUAUUAGGAAGAACACCAGUGGCGAAGGCGGCUUUCUGGACUGUAACUGACGCUGAUGAACGAAAGCGUGGGGAGCGAACAGGAUUAGAUACCCGUGUAGUC
RNAcentral lists this ribosomal RNA (439 nucleotides) under uncultured bacterium. RNAcentral's name for it is "partial 16S ribosomal RNA". It matches the Rfam family "Bacterial small subunit ribosomal RNA", at positions 339 to 795 of the family's 1533-position model. The record is from RNAcentral.